GGGAAUGUGGCUUAGUGGUAGAGUGCUUGCCUAGCAUGCAUGAAACCUGGGGUUUGAUUCCUCAAUACCA
This 70-nucleotide transfer RNA is filed under the name Dipodomys ordii (Ord's kangaroo rat). It matches the Rfam family "tRNA". Rfam says of the family: Transfer RNA (tRNA) molecules are approximately 80 nucleotides in length. Their secondary structure includes four short double-helical elements and three loops (D, anti-codon, and T loops). Further hydrogen bonds mediate the characteristic L-shaped molecular structure. tRNAs have two regions of fundamental functional importance: the anti-codon, which is responsible for specific mRNA codon recognition, and the 3' end, to which the tRNAs corresponding amino acid is attached (by aminoacyl-tRNA synthetases). tRNAs cope with the degeneracy of the genetic code in two manners: having more than one tRNA (with a specific anti-codon) for a particular amino acid; and 'wobble' base-pairing, i.e. permitting non-standard base-pairing at the 3rd anti-codon position. Lineage: Eukaryota; Metazoa; Chordata; Mammalia; Rodentia; Heteromyidae. The record is from Rfam by way of RNAcentral.